RNAcentral lists this ribosomal RNA (253 nucleotides) under uncultured bacterium. Its description in RNAcentral is "partial 16S ribosomal RNA". It matches the Rfam family "Bacterial small subunit ribosomal RNA", at positions 524 to 776 of the family's 1533-position model. The record is from RNAcentral.
UACAGAGGGGGCAAGCGUUGUUCGGAAUUACUGGGCGUAAAGGGCGCGUAGGCGGCCUUCUAAGUCGAACGUGAAAUCCCUGGGCUCAACCCAGGAACUGCGUCCGAUACUGGAAGGCUUGAAUCCGGGAGAGGGAUGCGGAAUUCCAGGUGUAGCGGUGAAAUGCGUAGAUAUGUGGAGGAACACCGAUGGCGAAGGCAGCCCCCUGGGUCAAGACUGACGCUCAUGCACGAAAGCGUGGGGAGCAAACAGG